UCGCNUCUGCUGUGAAAGGCUGGGGCUUAACCCUGGUUUUGCAGUGGGUACGGGCUAACUAGAGUGCAGUAGGGGAGACUGGAAUUCCUGGUGUAGCGGUGGAAUGCGCAGAUAUCAGGAGGAACACCGAUGGCGAAGGCAGGUCUCUGGGCUGUAACUGACGCUGAGAAGCGAAAGCAUGGGGAGCGAACAGGAUUAGAUACCCUGGUAGUCCAUGCCGUAAACGUUGGGCACUAGGUGUGGGGGACAUUCCACGUUUUCCGCGCCGUAGCUAACGCAUUAAGUGCCCCGCCUGGGGAGUACGGCCGCAAGGCUAAAACUCAAAGAAAUUGACGGGGGCCCGCACAAGCGGCGGAGCAUGCGGAUUAAUUCGAUGCAACGCGAAGAACCUUACCAAGGCUUGACAUAUACUGGACUGCGUCAGAGAUGGCGUUUCCCUUCGGGGCUGGUAUACAGGUGGUGCAUGGUUGUCGUCAGCUCGUGUCGUGAGAUGUUGGGUUAAGUCCCGCAACGAGCGCAACCCUCGUUCUAUGUUGCCAGCACGUGAUGGUGGGGACCCAUAGGAGACUGCCGGGGUCAACUCGGAGGAAGGUGGGGAUGACGUCAAAUCAUCAUGCCCCUUAUGUCUUGGGCUUCACGCAUGCUACAAUGGCCGGUACUGAGGGUUGCGAUACUGUGAGGUGGAGCUAAUCCCUAAAAGCCGGUCUCAGUUCGGAUUGGGGUCUGCAACUCGACCCCAUGAAGUCGGAGUCGCUAGUAAUCGCAGAUCAGCAACGCUGCGGUGAAUACGUUCCCGGGCCUUGUACACACCGCCCGUCAAGUCACGAAAGUUGGUAACACCCGAAGCCGNU
RNAcentral lists this ribosomal RNA (851 nucleotides) under uncultured bacterium. RNAcentral describes it as "bacterial SSU rRNA". It matches the Rfam family "Bacterial small subunit ribosomal RNA", at positions 583 to 1431 of the family's 1533-position model. The record is from RNAcentral.